RNAcentral lists this ribosomal RNA (497 nucleotides) under uncultured bacterium. RNAcentral describes it as "partial 16S ribosomal RNA". It matches the Rfam family "Bacterial small subunit ribosomal RNA", at positions 29 to 507 of the family's 1533-position model. The record is from RNAcentral.
AGUGAACGCUGGCGGCGUGCCUAAUACAUGCAAGUCGAGCGGACGCAUGAUAAGCGUUCUCUCCUACCGUUAGCGGCUGGCGGGUGAGUAACGCGUGGAUCACCAUCCUCUUUUACGUGGAUAACUUCGUAAGGCAGCAUCUGAUACUACCUCAUAUGUUCAACGGCUGGAUUCAAUAGUUAUUCACACUUUUCGUGUCUCUUAUAGCUGGAUCCGCGCCGCAUUAGCUAGUUGGUAAGGUAACGGCUUACCAAGGCAACGAUGCGUAGCCGACCUGAGAGGAUGAUCAGCCACACUGGAACUGAGACACGGUCCAGACUCCUACGGGAGGCAGCAGUAGGGAAUAUUCGGCAAUGGGCGAAAGCCUGACGGAGCAAUGCCGCGUGAGUGAAGAAGGUCUUCGGAUCGUAAAGCUCUGUUAUUGGGGAAGAACAGAUGUGGAAGAAAAUAUGCCUGUCCUGACGGUACCUAAUCAGAAAGCAACGGCUAACUACGUG